RNAcentral lists this small nucleolar RNA (162 nucleotides) under Amphiprion percula (orange clownfish). Its description in RNAcentral is "Small Cajal body specific RNA 16 (ENSAPEG00000005302.1)". Lineage: Eukaryota; Metazoa; Chordata; Actinopteri; Pomacentridae. The record is from RNAcentral.
GAGGUCUUGGGCAGCAGCUGCAGUGUGCCGUCCGGCCGUACGCUGCAGCUCGCCUGAAUGAACCCAGAAUAUAACAGGAAUGACUGAUGGUCCGUCCUGGCAGUUGCAGGUGUGAGCAUUCAUCCAGCUGUCUGAUGCUCAUGUAUGAUACUGCACACAUUC